GAUGAACGCUGGCGGCGUGCCUAAUACAUGCAAGUCGAGCGAACGGACGAGAAGCUUGCUUCUCUGACGUUAGCGGCGGACGGGUGAGUAACACGUGGAUAACCUACCUAUAAGACUGGGAUAACUUCGGGAAACCGUAGCUAAUACCGGAUAAUAUUUUGAACCGCAUGGUUCAAAAGUGAAAGACGGUUUUGCUGUCACUUAUAGAUGGAUCCGCGCUGCAUUAGCUAGUUGGUAAGGUAACGGCUUACCAAGGCAACGAUGCAUAGCCGACCUGAGAGGGUGAUCGGCCACACUGGAACUGAGACACGGUCCAGACUCCUACGGGAGGCAGCAGUAGGGAAUCUUCCGCAAUGGGCGAAAGCCUGACGGAGCAACGCCGCGUGAGUGAUGAAGGCCUUCGGAUCGUAAAACUCUGUUAUUAGGGAAGAACAUAUGUGUAAGUAACUGUGCACAUCUUGACGGUACCUAAUCAGAAAGCCACGGCUAACUACGUG
Molecule: ribosomal RNA, 497 nt
Filed under: uncultured bacterium
Lineage: Bacteria
Description: partial 16S ribosomal RNA
Rfam family: Bacterial small subunit ribosomal RNA
Source: RNAcentral